This 73-nucleotide transfer RNA is filed under the name Anaerolineae bacterium. RNAcentral describes it as "tRNA-Thr". It matches the Rfam family "tRNA". Rfam says of the family: Transfer RNA (tRNA) molecules are approximately 80 nucleotides in length. Their secondary structure includes four short double-helical elements and three loops (D, anti-codon, and T loops). Further hydrogen bonds mediate the characteristic L-shaped molecular structure. tRNAs have two regions of fundamental functional importance: the anti-codon, which is responsible for specific mRNA codon recognition, and the 3' end, to which the tRNAs corresponding amino acid is attached (by aminoacyl-tRNA synthetases). tRNAs cope with the degeneracy of the genetic code in two manners: having more than one tRNA (with a specific anti-codon) for a particular amino acid; and 'wobble' base-pairing, i.e. permitting non-standard base-pairing at the 3rd anti-codon position. The record is from RNAcentral. RNAcentral also lists the same sequence under 2 other names. Lineage: Bacteria; Bacillati; Chloroflexota; Anaerolineae.
GCCCUCAUAGCUCAGUUGGCAGAGCGCGUUCUUGGUAAGAACGAGGUCAUGGGUUCAAAUCCCAUUGAGGGCU